CAGUCGAGCGAACGGACGAGAAGCUUGCUUCUCUGAUGUUAGCGGCGGACGGGUGAGUAACACGUGGAUAACCUACCUAUAAGACUGGGAUAACUUCGGGAAACCGGAGCUAAUACCGGAUAAUAUUUUGAACCGCAUGGUUCAAAAGUGAAAGACGGUCUUGCUGUCACUUAUAGAUGGAUCCGCGCUGCAUUAGCUAGUUGGUAAGGUAACGGCUUACCAAGGCAACGAUGCAUAGCCGACCUGAGAGGGUGAUCGGCCACACUGGAACUGAGACACGGUCCAGACUCCUACGGGAGGCAGCAGUAGGGAAUCUUCCGCAAUGGGCGAAAGCCUGACGGAGCAACGCCGCGUGAGUGAUGAAGGUCUUCGGAUCGUAAAACUCUGUUAUUAGGGAAGAACAUAUGUGUAAGUAACUGUGCACAUCUUGACGGUACCUAAUCAGAAAGCCACGGCUAACUACGUGCCAGCAGCCGCGGUAAUACGUAGGUGGCAAGCGUUAUCCGGAAUUAUUGGGCGUAAAGCGCGCGUAGGCGGUUUUUUAAGUCUGAUGUGAAAGCCCACGGCUCAACCGUGGAGGGUCAUUGGAAACUGGAAAACUUGAGUGCAGAAGAGGAAAGUGGAAUUCCAUGUGUAGCGGUGAAAUGCGCAGAGAUAUGGAGGAACACCAGUGGCGAAGGCGACUUUCUGGUCUGUAACUGACGCUGAUGUGCGAAAGCGUGGGGAUCAAACAGGAUUAGAUACCCUGGUAGUCCACGCCGUAAACGAUGAGUGCUAAGUGUUAGGGGGUUUCCGCCCCUUAGUGCUGCAGCUAACGCAUUAAGCACUCCGCCUGGGGAGUACGACCGCAAGGUUGAAACUCAAAGGAAUUGACGGGGACCCGCACAAGCGGUGGAGCAUGUGGUUUAAUUCGAAGCAACGCGAAGAACCUUACCAAAUCUUGACAUCCUUUGACACUCUAGA
This 963-nucleotide ribosomal RNA is filed under the name Staphylococcus aureus. Its description in RNAcentral is "bacterial SSU rRNA". It matches the Rfam family "Bacterial small subunit ribosomal RNA", at positions 59 to 1004 of the family's 1533-position model. The record is from RNAcentral. Lineage: Bacteria; Bacillati; Bacillota; Bacilli; Caryophanales; Staphylococcaceae.